This 136-nucleotide ribosomal RNA is filed under the name uncultured bacterium. RNAcentral's name for it is "partial 16S ribosomal RNA". It matches the Rfam family "Bacterial small subunit ribosomal RNA", at positions 354 to 506 of the family's 1533-position model. The record is from RNAcentral.
GUGGGGAAUAUUGCGCAAUGGGCGGAAGCCUGACGCAGCGACGCCGCGUGGGGGAUGAAGGCCUUCGGGUUGUAAACCUCUUUCACCAGGAGCGAAUCCAGACGGUACCUGGGGAAGAAGCGCCGGCUAACUACGU